This 460-nucleotide ribosomal RNA is filed under the name uncultured bacterium. RNAcentral's name for it is "partial 16S ribosomal RNA". It matches the Rfam family "Bacterial small subunit ribosomal RNA", at positions 338 to 795 of the family's 1533-position model. The record is from RNAcentral.
CCUACGGGAGGCAGCAGUGAGGAAUAUUGGUCAAUGGGCGAGAGCCUGAACCAGCAACGUAGCGUGAAGGAUGAAUGCCCUCCGGGUUGUAAACUUCUUUUAUAAAGGAAUAAAGUGAGGCACGUGUGCCUUUUUGUAUGUACUUUAUGAAUAAGGAUCGGCUAACUCCGUGCCAGCAGCCGCGGUAAUACGGAGGAUCCGAGCGUUAUCCGGAUUUAUUGGGUUUAAAGGGAGCGUAGAUGGGUUGUUAAGUCAGUUGUGAAAGUUUGCGGCUCAACCGUAAAAUUGCAAUUGAUACUGGCAGCCUUGAGUACAGUUGAGGUAGGCGGAAUUCGUGGUGUAGCGGUGAAAUGCUUAGAGAUCACGAAGAACUCCGAUUGCGAAGGCAGCUUACUAAACUGCCACUGACAUUGAUGCGCGAAAGUGUGGGUAUCAAACAGGAUUAGAUACCCGAGUAGUC